Daphnia magna is the source of this 3833-nucleotide long non-coding RNA. RefSeq lists it as uncharacterized. The record is from RefSeq and is a predicted model, not a curated record. The transcript has 3 exons. NCBI's taxonomy places the organism in Eukaryota, Metazoa, Arthropoda, Branchiopoda, Diplostraca, Daphniidae.
UUUUUUUAAUUAGAAAACGCGGCGGACCUUCGUAAGAAGGUGUAGGCCGUCAAUUGUAUUUAGGAUGGCGUUUUGGACACAUACAUUAUAUGGGCAUUUAUUCACUGGGUUGUAAGAGAAAGGUUGGUGAUUUGUACUUGAACAAGUAGUAUAUAAUUGCCAUGAAAAACCACGUGGAUCACCUGCAACAGCACUCUUUGUCUCGGACCAGCCGCUUGGGAAAUGAAGCUUUGGGACAUCAUAGACCCUUAAUUGGAAUAAGGUAAGCUACAGUUCACUUUUUGAGUUCAUAUUUAGCACUUUAAAGAACACUGGUACAUAAGACAAGAAACGGUUUCCCAGCUAAAAAAAGAAUUUUUCUUCCAUACUUUCCUUUCAUAUUCUUUUUCGCUAAUGUUCGGUUGUAUAAAAGCGUGAUCCUCACUUAAAAGUGAAUCAUCAUUUACUUUUGUUUUUAUGUUGUAAGUUCUCCGAGUGAAACAUUGUUUUUCUUUUGUUUCAUUCUUGUGAAUUAUCGAUGAGAACAUAUUUUGAGUGGUGUCUAAUCGCAUGGCAAUUUUUUAUUCCAAAUGUUUUGAGGGUGAAGAGUCACCGAAAUCUUCGUUGACAUUGUUUUCAGUUAAGCCUGCAUCCAAGUACUGGGAACCGACGAAUGUCUCCAUAUAGUUUUCGAUCAUGUUAGUCAGCUGACAGAAUGUAGGUCGAUCGUUAGGUUCUUUUUUCCAGCAAUUUUUCAUUAUGUCUCCAAAAAAGUUUGGCGAGUAAUCUGGUUUCUCCAUUCGUAGUCCGUCUUGAAUAUCUUUGACGAGUAUAUGGCCGUUCAUACCUUGAAACAUACAGUAUAAAUGUAGAUUUCAAUGGAUAAAUGAAAAUUAGAUGUUGAUUUCAGUUUACCUGGGUAUGGAAUUUUGCCCAGGGUAAAGAGUUCCCAUAGAAGAAUCCCGUAAGACCAGACGUCAGAUUGACUAGAAAACACGUUAUCCGCCAACGAUUCAAUGGCCAUCCACUUGACUGGUAGCAAUCCCUGAUAGCCAAAUUAAUGAAAUUGGAUAUCGUCUGUUCCCCCGGAAAAGGUUGUGUGCAAACUUUACCUGCCCUUUUAUUUCAUAGCUGUUGCUGUACAUUUUUCGCGCCAUACCAAAAUCUGCAACUUUGACAACUCCAUGAUCAGCUAAAAGAACAUUGCGAGCGGCUAAAUCGCCAUGGAGAACCUGAUCGAUGUCAGAUAUUUCACACCGAGAAAAUUGAUUUAGUAAACGUAAUUGAAACGAUACCUUUUUACUAGCUAUAUAUUCCAUCCCCUUGGCUAUUUGGAGAGAAAAGCUAAUUAAAUUCCAGGUGGAAAUCGAUGGAUAGAAAUUUGCGUCAACGUCUCCUCCAUAUUUCCAAAUGGCUUCCGUUUCUUGAAGGCAAUCUUCUUCUGUUAAUGACACUUUUAAAAUAAAAAGACUCUCAAACAUUUUUUUUUUUUUCUCUCACUAUUUUGCAAUUUUACCGGGACAGAUUGAAAUGUCGGUUAUCGAAUUUCUCGCUUGAGAUACGGAAUUGUCUGAGUGUCCAGGCUGUAGUUGCUGUCUUGAUUUUCCGCAGGAGGCACCGUCCCCACUAGAACAUGCCAGAUUGUAGUUUGAAAUUAACUUUGAAUUGCUUUUUUAUACCAGUGAAUCGCGCUAAUUUCCACAAAUUCAUUUGGUAGAUUUAGGUUACCAAAGUCAUCCAAUUGGUUGAGAAAUUUAUUACGCUGUUUAAUCAAAUAAGAUUGUAAAUUGCCGAAACGACAAUAAUCGAUAAUCAGCAAGAGUUCGCCUAUCCAAUCAAAUUUGAUGCUUGGGUUUAAUAAAUUUUAAAAUGUCCAGGCUUUAAUGUAGUCUACCUUUGAUAAUGUCUUUGGUACAGGCUCCCAGUAAAUUGACGACAUUUAUAUGCGGUCCUAAAUAAUUCAGAAUUUUUAGUUCUCUAAUGAGAGCGUCUAGUCCCUCAUUCUUUAAUUUGAUUUGAAAUUGCGAUGCCGAAAGGACUUUUUUUACGGCUACUGUUGUAACAGUCUCAUCCGAGUCUUUCAUGCCGACAGCUUCGGCUUUGUAAACUUCCCCAAAGCAUCCUUUGCCCAGCUUUUUUCCUAAUUUUGUUUUUAAGUUGUUAGUUUAAAUUUGUAAAACUGAGACCAGCUUUUAAAUAAACGCGAACAAACCCAAUCUGAGGCGAUUUUUGGGAAAUUCACAUCCUUUAUCAUAAGGAAGAAAUUCAGUUUGAUACUCGAUUGGCAAGUUUGGAUCAAUGCCAUCAGGAUUUCCGUUCAAUCUUUCUUGAAUUUCUUUUUCCAGGUUUUUCUUCAUUUUAUAUAUGUGGGUUCAAAAAAAUGAAAGUAAAAUAAUCGAAACGGGAAUCGUAAGUCUUUGCAAUGACAAUUUCCUAUAUUUUUUACCACUCACCUUAUCAACGUACUGUUUGAUGGGUACUCCGAUAAUAACUAAAGUUGCAAGAGAUACGCAAACAGCGAUGGCAAUACUUGUAGAUUCUGUUUCUUCUGAAAAAUUAAAAUUUCUAUAUCUCUUUUCUCCUCGACUGUUGUUCCAACGACAUGAAUAAGUUCCCGUUUCUCCACCAAUUCCUUGUAGUGGCAAAACUGAUGAACUACUGCUUGUAUGGAUUAAUCCCAAAUAUUCUAUGUCAUCCUGAUUUCGAUUUGUAAGGAUUUAACCGAGGAUAAAAAUGGUUUGAUUUGUUUACCUUGAACCACUGGAUGUGGACGUCGUCUGAUAUUCUAUUGCAAGUCAAAUUCUGAGCUAUUCCUUUUCCCAGUUUGACAUUCAAUGGAUCAUUAUUUAUUUCUUAAAAGAGUUUCAAAAAUGAUUGUUUUUACUACCUAAAAAAAAAAAAGAGACAAAUAGAAAAGAAAUACCUUUGAUUGUAAAACUAAUUGAUUGAGAAAUCGUUUUACGACUGACGUUGCCUCUGCAUUGAAAGUGCGCGUGCGUAUCAAGAGUAACGCUGGACAGUUCCAGCUGACUUUGAUGUAAAUCGUACCAGUAAUCUCCAAGAACCUUGUGGAUCACUUCGUUGUUUAUUUUAAUUCCUGUAGUAAAUUUAUUAAAUAGUCAAACAUUUAAAAGAACAAGAGAUCGAGAUUGUUUCGUACCUUUAGGAGGGUCAGUUAUAUUUAUAAUCUGUUCUUGGUCGGUUUCGUUGAUUACGUAAGACCAUUCCGGUCGCCAAACGAAUUUUGAGACACUACUUUGAAUCAUAGUACUACAUAUCAGGGUAACAUUGUCACCUUCCACCACAUCGCCCUCCCCAAUCCUAACUAGUUCCAUUCCUAUUUUACAUUGGAUUUGUUAAAAAAAUUUCUAGAAACCUUUCUUGAUUUGAUCAAAGUAUAACCUCUGAUGAAAACGUUGAAUUCACUGUCGGUGUGUUUAGCAGUUGGCGUACGUUCGUUUAUGCUGCCUAUACAAAUGUAUUGUCCAGUGUCGUUGACUUUCGAAUUAGUUAACGUCAGUCCUCGUUCUGGGGUGGGUUUCAGCAACCAACUGGCAUUUUUAAAUUCAGGUCUCCGUCUGCGCCGAGUUCUCCGCGGUACAAAGACAUUGUUACGUUUGGAUGGGUUGGUUUGCACGGGAUAUCCAGAGGUUCGCCCGCUAACGAAACAAAUUCCGUGAUGACGUCAGCCUCGAUGAAAACAAGUUCUUUUUUACCUAGUUAUGUCAAAAGAAUCGCUAUUUGAUUAUCGAAGGUGAAUGAAAAAAAGUUAAAACAGACUGUAAAUGUAAACGUAUUGGUUGAUUUUAAUUUCGGGAGAGACGGCGCAAGUAAAAUAUCCCGUAUCAGAAGGA